UGCGGCGAAUUACGUGGUCUUUUUCUGGCCAACAUCGUCGGACGGUAGAAAAGGUGCGGUUAUUGGUGUCGUCUAGCACGACAUCCAACGCCGGUUAGCGACGAAUCUUCGGGCCUCUUUCCGACCCGUCUUGAAACACGGACCAAGGAGUCUAACGUGCGCGCGAGUCGCGGGGUAUCGAGUCGCGUGAAUUUAAAUCGGCGGCUCGUUACAUUACGAAACCCGUGUGUAUGUGAAUGCAAGGCGCAAUGAAAGUGAAAUUUGGGAAGAUGGCGUUCGAGCUCACGUAUCUCGGUCGUCAUGUACCGAGGCCGAACGUCCGCACUCCCAGGGCGUCCUAUCGGCACGUUUCGGAUGCGGAUAGUCGUUUCGCGACGGCUGUCGGUCUUUAACGAGUCGGGGCGCACCUAUAGCGUGCACGUUGGUACCCGAAAGAUGGUGAACUAUGCCUGGCCAGGAUGAAGUCAGGGGAAACCCUGAUGGAGGUCCGUAGCGAUUCUGACGUGCAAAUCG
RNAcentral lists this ribosomal RNA (513 nucleotides) under Asterodiaspis quercicola. RNAcentral describes it as "eukaryotic LSU rRNA". It matches the Rfam family "Eukaryotic large subunit ribosomal RNA", at positions 525 to 900 of the family's 3401-position model. Lineage: Eukaryota; Metazoa; Arthropoda; Insecta; Hemiptera; Asterolecaniidae. The record is from RNAcentral.